GAUUGAGAGCUUGCUCUCAAGAAGUUAGCGGCGGACGGGUGAGUAACACGUGGGUAACCUGCCCAUAAGACUGGGAUAACUCCGGGAAACCGGGGCUAAUACCGGAUAACAUUUUGAACUGCAUGGUUCGAAAUUGAAAGGCGGCUUCGGCUGUCACUUAUGGAUGGACCCGCGUCGCAUUAGCUAGUUGGUGAGGUAACGGCUCACCAAGGCAACGAUGCGUAGCCGACCUGAGAGGGUGAUCGGCCACACUGGGACUGAGACACGGCCCAGACUCCUACGGGAGGCAGCAGUAGGGAAUCUUCCGCAAUGGACGAAAGUCUGACGGAGCAACGCCGCGUGAGUGAUGAAGGCUUUCGGGUCGUAAAACUCUGUUGUUAGGGAAGAACAAGUGCUAGUUGAAUAAGCUGGCACCUUGACGGUACCUAACCAGAAAGCCACGGCUAACUACGUGCCAGCAGCCGCGGUAAUACGUAGGUGGCAAGCGUUAUCCGGAAUUAUUGGGCGUAAAGCGCGCGCAGGUGGUUUCUUAAGUCUGAUGUGAAAGCCCACGGCUCAACCGUGGAGGGUCAUUGGAAACUGGGAGACUUGAGUGCAGAAGAGGAAAGUGGAAUUCCAUGUGUAGCGGUGAAAUGCGUAGAGAUAUGGAGGAACACCAGUGGCGAAGGCGACUUUCUGGUCUGUAACUGACAC
RNAcentral lists this ribosomal RNA (693 nucleotides) under Bacillus cereus. RNAcentral's name for it is "bacterial SSU rRNA". It matches the Rfam family "Bacterial small subunit ribosomal RNA", at positions 70 to 746 of the family's 1533-position model. The record is from RNAcentral. Lineage: Bacteria; Bacillati; Bacillota; Bacilli; Caryophanales; Bacillaceae.